RNAcentral lists this long non-coding RNA (261 nucleotides) under Lathyrus oleraceus (garden pea). RNAcentral's name for it is "Pisum sativum (pea) long non-coding RNA (PSAT_LNC010497)". Lineage: Eukaryota; Viridiplantae; Streptophyta; Magnoliopsida; Fabales; Fabaceae. The record is from RNAcentral.
AAAAACCCGCCUCACUUGACCCCGAUAUCACGCUAUAACCAGUUUGUGGUUUCUUUAAUUCAAGCUCUUUCAACCUCAAAUACUUGCCCAUAAAGCUCUAUCGACAUCAUCUAAUUGCAUCAUCACUUUACCUUAAAAUCUCAUGCAUUAUGAUCCUCAUUUAUGUCAUUGUUAACCUUUGAAGCUUCAACGAGAAAGGUAGCUAUGAGUUAAAUCUUUGAGCAAACAAGUUACCACUCUCUUCGCAUUGUUCCACUGAUC